CACACGAGCACUUUAAAGGCAUUUGAAGAAAAAGACAUCUCACACAAAGGAGUUGCAUCCGCAGACACACGCCAAAGUUUAAUCUCUUUUUCAGAAGCGGUCUUUUCCGAAACCGGAGAUCACCGAUCUCUUUUACGGCUGGAAAGGCGUAGCCUCCAACGCAGUGGGCACCAGUAAUUAUCAUGCAAUAAAGAAACGAAGCAAAAGUGCAUUUUUAUUUCAAGUGUACACAUCACAAAAAAGGGUUUUGUCUUUCGUUGAACCUUAAGUAGGCGCAGUUUUGCACUUUUUGCACGGCACUCUCGUAAGCAGUUCGAAAAUAUCACGUGACGCUAACAGACGAUGCAAAUUCGCGCCAUUUUCUGCGACCAUGGCUACGGCGAGCGGUACCGACGAACAGCCUCCGGCACGCCAAAGAAAACCGCGGGUACAGUGGUCGGAGAGAGACACCUGGGCGUUAAUCAAGUUAUGGGAAGACAACCUGCCCUCGCUGCGUGCGCAGAAGCACAACGGAGGCGUUUACGAUGGCAUUGCACAAGCAUUGACGAGCAUGGGUGUACCUCGCACAAAGGCGCAAGUGCACAGCAAGAUAGAGAACCUGGGACAGACCUACAGGAGCUGCCUGAAACACAUGACAACAGGGUCAUCACCGCCGAGCUGGCCAUUCUUCUCCGAAGUCCAUAGGUUUCUAGGAUCCCUGCCUGUUCACGAUACAUCUUUAAUGGAAGAGGCUGGGUGCAGCGAGAGCACAACAAGCAGCACUGCCUCCGUCGAAGAAGUAAGAAAUGCAUAGUGGAGACUAUAUAUGCUUUAUUACAGUCAACUAAAUUUCAAGACAUAAUGUAGCAUCAGCUGUGCUGCCAAGCCCAUAAUCUGCACAACCCUGCAGUGUAGCGGACUGCUCUUGUUAAUACUGUGGUUCAUUUCUGCUUGUGCUCACGCGCUGUUCAUUUUGCAAGCUUGGCAGUGCGCUGUUUGGAGAAUAAAAAAAAUGCAGACUCUAAAAUAAAAAAA
Molecule: non-coding RNA, 1014 nt
Organism: Dermacentor albipictus
Lineage: Eukaryota; Metazoa; Arthropoda; Arachnida; Ixodida; Ixodidae
Source: RefSeq, a predicted model, not a curated record